UUGAGGGUUGGCCUUUUAACAUGCAAGGUCGAACGGUAACAGGGAGCUUGCUCCGCUGACGAGUGGCGAACGGGUGAGUAAUACAUCGGAACGUGCCCAGUAAUGGGGGAUAGCUCGGCGAAAGCCGGAUUAAUACCGCAUACGCCCUGAGGGGGAAAGUGGGGGACCGCAAGGCCUCACGUUAUUGGAGCGGCCGAUGGCUGAUUAGCUAGUUGGUAGGGUAAAGGCCUACCAAGGCGACGAUCAGUAGCUGGUCUGAGAGGACGAUCAGCCACACUGGGACUGAGACACGGCCCAGACUCCUACGGGAGGCAGCAGUGGGGAAUUUUGGACAAUGGGGGAAACCCUGAUCCAGCAAUGCCGCGUGUGCGAAGAAGGCCUUCGGGUUGUAAAGCACUUUUGUCAGGGAAGAAAUCCUUUGGGCUAAUACCCUAGGGGGAUGACGGUACCUGAAGAAUAAGCACCGGCUAACUACGUGCCAGCAGCCGCGGUAAUACGUAGGGUGCAAGCGUUAAUCGGAAUUACUGGGCGUAAAGCGUGCGCAGGCGGUUGUGUAAGACAGGUGUGAAAUCCCCGGGCUUAACCUGGGAAUUGCAUUUGUGACUGCACG
RNAcentral lists this ribosomal RNA (610 nucleotides) under Limnobacter sp. Its description in RNAcentral is "bacterial SSU rRNA". It matches the Rfam family "Bacterial small subunit ribosomal RNA", at positions 37 to 639 of the family's 1533-position model. Lineage: Bacteria; Pseudomonadati; Pseudomonadota; Betaproteobacteria; Burkholderiales; Burkholderiaceae. The record is from RNAcentral.